AAAAUUCCUCUUGGUAUUUUGGGUCCCUCCAUGCUUUACACUUUAAAGCCCCUCCCAAAACCAACACACAUAAAUACCCUUGUUAUAUCUACAGGAAUGGAUCAUAAGAACACAAGGUUCACAAACUGGUUUUAACACUCAAACAAAAACAAGAUAUCUAGUUUUCUACUACUUUCCUCUUCUUCUUGUUUGUUUCUAUAUAAGUUUUUAAACCAUACCAUGGUUUUCAGUUCUCAUGGUGUGUUUGUUCUUCUUUUCUGUAUUGGGUUGUUCUUAGUAGUUCAACCAGAUGAAGUCUCUGCCCUCACAAGUAUAGGCCUAGCCCUCAGAGAGAACCAAAAUCAAUAUCAUGGAAUUUUUCCGCGGCAUCAACGUACUCUCAAGGCUGCCACCAUGGAGGAAAUGAGCACAGAGAAGAAGAAUUCAACAAACACAAACAGCAACUUUGAUCCAAAUCAAUCGAGCAAAAGAAGAGUGCGAAGAGGAUCGGAUCCUAUCCACAAUAGGUCUUAAAGGAUGAAGCUGGCAUUUUAAACACAAAGUUGAUUCAAGCAAUGCAGAACAACCACGAGGCGGUGAAUUACUUCAUUUGGUUGGUUGGUCUUUUUUCCUAUCUUGCAGUAGAGUUUUUAUAUAAUAGAGAGACAUGUGUAUAGCCAAGUAACAGAGCAAGUCAUUGAAGGCUUUCAGUGACAGUGGAGCCAACCUCGUCUCUGUCUUUGGAGCCAAGAUCAUAAACCAAUGAGAGAACAGUACAGACGACGGUGGUUCCUCCGAAAUGAAAGAAACAAAUAUAGUUGUUUUUUAAUUUUUUUGUCUUUUGAAGAGCAGUGUUCUGUUUCUGUUUGCAUCAUCAGUGUUAAAGAGUUUUGUUGCAGAUGAUAGUGAAAUUCUUUUGUAACCCUGCAGCUCUUACAAUGUCUUUCAAAUGUAAUGAGCUUUUAUUUUAUACCUUGAUUAGUAUUUUCACUUUUUUCUUGGCUGGUGG
RNAcentral lists this long non-coding RNA (988 nucleotides) under Prunus dulcis (almond). RNAcentral describes it as "sRNA ncRNA". The record is from RNAcentral. Lineage: Eukaryota; Viridiplantae; Streptophyta; Magnoliopsida; Rosales; Rosaceae.